AAUAUUUGUUGUUAAAACCAAAAACCCAGAAACCAUCCUUUCCCUCUCAACCACACAACUCAACACCCACAGCUCCACCAUCUUUCUCGCUGAUAAAUUGGCAGAAAUUGUAGAACCACUGUCCGCAAGAAAUUGCAGUACCAAUUGCACAGAUCGUAGAUGGAACACCAAUAUCGAUGUUGCAAGAAAUUGCAAAACUAGAAAUUUCCUUCUUCAAGGCAUAAUCCAUUCAAGUUCUACAAACCUGGAACAAAACCCACAACCCAAAACUCCAUAUCUACGUAAAAUGCUAAUGAAAAUAAUUUUUCCAAUGAACAAGAACAUCACAAUGCAUAGGAGAAACCAACAGCUUUAUUUGAGAUUGAAAUCAAGGGAUCUCCGAGGUGGGUUGAUCUCAUGUUUUACAUAUAUGCUUAUACAACAAACCUCAACAUUUGACAUGGCUCACACAGAAACCUUUACAAACAUCUAAAUCCAAGAUAUUCAACACAAAACUUCUCCAUCACCUCGCCACCUCUCUCCUUACAAACCUCCUCCUUCAUCUCUGCCACCACCUCACCCAAUUCCUUACAAACCAACAACCAACGCACCAACCAUAACACUGCCCACCACUGGCACAAGCUGAAAUGGAAACCUCAUAGCAUCGGCGGCCAAGGAUUAUUCCAUCAUCAGAGCAUGUGUCUCCUGGCUCGAUGACUCCACGACUCGAUGAUUCCAUCACCAUUCGACCUCGUAGUACCCUCACUGCCCACAAGCCUCAUCCCCCUAACCUCUACCUCAAGCCCAUCAUCUGCACACAGUGCCAACCGUGUGAAUAUUAAUCCCCAAACACCACCAAAUCGAUUACAACAAAUCCAUCAAAUCGUCGAAGUCGAAAUUCCCAACAUAAAACGAAGUGAUUCCUCAGAAAAUCUCCCAUACUUACGGUGAAAUCCCUCCCAUUCCCAAAUCAAUAAAACCACUACCACCCGCACCGUGUCCUCUACUACCUCAUCUGCCACCAACACUGUAGCUCACGUGAAGCGGCUAGGAGCUCAGUUUUUAAUGCAUGUGUCUUAAGUUGAGGGUGUUCUGUGGGUCUGAAGAUUUGGGUAAGGUUUUGAUGUCGGGGUGAAGGGAAGCUGGGACAGAAAAAUGGAAUUGCUGGUGUGAGCGUGUGCAGCAGCUUGGUUGUGAAAAUGGUGUGAGUAGAUGGUGAACAGUGAGAGUUUGCAAU
This 1216-nucleotide unclassified non-coding RNA is filed under the name Hevea brasiliensis (rubber tree). Lineage: Eukaryota; Viridiplantae; Streptophyta; Magnoliopsida; Malpighiales; Euphorbiaceae. The record is from RNAcentral.